CACCUCACCCUCUUAUUUCUUCUAUAUAAAAACAAUCCUAGUCCUCUCGUUGUAUAUCUUUUUUAUCUUCGACUUCUCUUUUCCAAUUCAUACGUAGCAAUCUUAGAUCUCCCUCCUCAGUUUCAAUCUCCGAUGGAUAACCGUGGCCAAUCUCCGCCGAUGGUGACCAAUCGUGUUGACAGAUUAGUCCUUCUCCUCGACUUCUCAAGAAAUCCGAUAAGAACCCUAGAUCUCAGCGUUGUUUCUCUCUCUCGCGACGAUCGCGGUCGCGACAAUGGACCGGAUGUAUCGCAAGCCUUUACCCAAGGUUUGGAGACCGGUGAUGGUGAGAGUCGUCUCCGUCGACGAAGACGGAAGAGGAGGAACGGUGGAGCUUCUUGGUUACCGCAACGCCCCUAUUGGAAGAAUCAAUGCUGAUGAUGAUCUUGUUCUUAACAGAAUCGAGCCUGCUAUGCUAUCUUCAAGGGAUCCACUUCUUCUGACCAAGAACGUGAGCUUUCAACGUAGAGUCUCUUGUGAGAGAAGAUUCAACAAAAGGAAGCAUGUCCAUGUGAUUAUGCGAUCUGUAGCAAGGAAGACUGGUUAUGAUUUGGAAGAUUUAUACAAGCUUCUUAAUUGGCCUAGUUACCGGUUGUUGAUGGAUUUAGAGUUUCUGGGAUUUUUCAUCUUUGGUCCCUAAUGCGGUUAGAGUUGCAUUGCUUUAUGGUGUUCAGAACAUCACUCUUCAAACUCUAAGGAUUACAAAUCCUCAAGUUCUUCUCAGUUCUUACGGCUUGGAUCAAGAUCGUUCCACUUGUUGGGCUUGUGCUGAAAUUCGCCAAUUUGAAUCCCUUUUGAAGGACAAUGAUCGGAUGCCCUGGGAAGAAUCGUUGUGUAUUGAUGAUCUCGUCGAUAAAGCAGUUCAGGAAGAUCUGGCCCAUGAAAAUGAUGGUAGCAUUGAAUGUCUAUCAUAUUCUGAGGAUGUUUUCAUUACUUCGGGUAUUAAAUCUUCUCAAGGGGAGGUACCUUUGUACUACUUAAGUGCAUUGGAUGUUGUCUUCGAUCACCAAUACUCCCCUCCUUCUUGGAUCAGACUUCUCUUAGAUAAGGCUAAGAACUUGCGUGGGAGCAUCACAGUAUCGGUUAUUUGGUUUGCUAGCUAUAAGAACAACUUACAAGGGCAGGCAAUAUAUAAGCCAACCGAAGAAGAACUUAAAAGCAUAUGAGAGGAAUCCUCACUCUAAGAGGCACAGUAUUCACACCAUGAGUUUGACAGGUGCUGGGGUACAUGAAGAGGAUGAUGGCACUCUUAUCCCGUACUUUGAGAUACUGGACAGCAUCGGUGACAUUGGCGUUGGUGAUAGGGGAUUUUUACGGUUUGAUUAUGCGUGUCCCAUCGUUGAGUUUGUUGAGAUGACUCUUUGAAGGUUUGAUCUCAUCUACCCAGGUCUAGUUUUGGGUGCGGGUUAUAAUUAGCCAUAACUUGGUAAGUUUUUGGGAGUGGUUGUGGCUAAUUUUUUUUUGUCUCGGAUUAUGAUCUCGUUGUAAAAACUGCCAUUUGACUUGAUUACUAUCUUUUAUAUAUUUGACUCAUCGGCUAAAUUUUACUUUUUGAAGCGAAUUUUAGUUUUUAAUUUUGUGUUUAUAAACUGUUUUCCAUAAAUAUAUGACAAAUAUCUUCAGAAUAAAUUUCAAAAUUGCCAACUAGAACGAAAAAGACAACAAAACAUCCGAAUCAAAAGCAGCAAUGACCCGAUCCCAUUCUGCUACAAAUUCAGUCUUCUCUUAGGCCUGUGAACAAGUAAAGUCACUGCUGAGCUGGUAAAGUCAACACAAAUAGCAAGUGACGUGGACUUAAACAAAGGGUGAAGCAGAGCCUUGAGCUGAAGCAGAGGGUCCUUUUAUAUUGACUCCUACUGAAACGUCAAACCCACCCGAGGGUUUGACUCCUACCCGAACCCAAACCCAAACCCAAAACCGACUGUUGGUUGGAAGCAGCUUCGCCGGUCGCCGCCAGUGACAAAAUCGACCAAGCAUGAUCCGCAAAUAAGCUAUCUCUGUAUCAAUUUUGAGCUUCUUUGUUGUGUACAAAACUUUCUGGGUUUGGUUUCUUGCCGAUUCGGAUUAGAAAGCGAGGAUUUCAUAUCAACAACAACAGUUUUAUAUGAUCUUUGAACAGUGUGCAUGAACUCUUUGUAUAUGUAUAUAAUGUCUGUCUUUUGCGGGUUUCAGUGUUUGGACUCUUUGCUUUACUGAAAACGUAAUUUUUGUUUGUGUACUUGUGUUUGUCUGUGGGACAGAUGAUGGUAGCGAGAAACCGAAGAGCGAUUGUAAAGACAAGAAAAAAAAACUGGAAAAAUCUGCAACUCAAGAGGAGAUAGUGAACCAUAAGUGUAACUCGGCUUUCUUAAGAUAACAGUCUCUGUUCUGAGAAAAAAGCAAGAAGAGAAAGAUGAAGAGUGUCCUGCAAGCAUAUGGCGAAGACUUUUGUUGUCCAAGAGAUGUAUGAAGCGAAAAUGGUUAAUGUUGUCGAAGGGAUUGAAGCUAUACGACAAAAUGGUUGACGCAAAGGAGGUUUCGGUUUCUCAACUCGUUUCUAUUGUCAACAAUCUGAGACUUCCUGAUAGAAGAGGUCAACUUCAAAGUGAGGCAUAUGUGGGUUGUAAACGGCCAAAUAAGAGGACAUGGACGCGAGAUGAUCCAACUUGGUCUCCCCAUAGCUGAUAGAGAGUAUCAACUUGGUCUCUCUAUUUAUAAUUUUCUGUGUAUGGGUUAACAUGAGAGAAGAUAUGGGUUUUAUGCAGAUCGAAGAGUAGAGCCAAUCCCAUCAGCUGUUUCAGACAUCAUUGAUCGUUUGGUCUCUAAGCAAAAUCAUUCCUGUUAAACCAGACGCUUGCAUCAUUGCCUUCUUCAGCGAGGUUAAAGUUGAACUGAUUGCUAAAUUCGUUAAAACCCCUAAAAACUAGUUUGUUUCCGUUUUUUUUUUUGUCUCUCUAUUUAUUGUGAACCAUAGGGAGAUCACUCGCAGCCCCAUAUGUUUGAAGGUGCAACUCUAGCUAUUUACAAAAUUAUAGUUUUUAAUUAAGACUCUUCCUUGUCGUUAUGUAGUAUUAUAGUAACCAGAAAAUUCGACGGAGUACAAAAAUACCAAGACAAGACACAUGGUUUCACCCACAUAAGCAUAAAAAUUCUUCUUGCAUUAGAUAACUCAAAAUGGUUGAAAAAUGUUGAGAAAAAAAAAGAAGAAAGUUAGAGCUAUAUACUCGCGCUCCACUAUUUUUGAAUUUUGACGUAGGCGGCGAAAGGUCCAGCUUAGGACUUCUUCGACUCAUCUUCUGUGUUGGAAUUGGAUUAGAUUUUGGAUAAUUUUUGCAACUUCCGAAACUACCCAUUAUUCUUUUCUUAUAUCUCAGAAUUGCUUCAUUUCUCUAUUAGAGUAUAUAUAUAUUGGCUUGUUGAGCGUUCAAACCUAAUCAAGUAUUUAGGGAUGUUAUGUCGAUAUGUUAGAGAUACCAAAUCAGUUGAUUGAUUAUAGUUUGUGAGAAAUCCAAUAAUAGUUUGUGAGAAAUCCUCAAGAGA
Molecule: non-coding RNA, 3558 nt
Organism: Camelina sativa (false flax)
Lineage: Eukaryota; Viridiplantae; Streptophyta; Magnoliopsida; Brassicales; Brassicaceae
Source: RefSeq, a predicted model, not a curated record